Molecule: ribosomal RNA, 443 nt
Filed under: uncultured bacterium
Lineage: Bacteria
Description: partial 16S ribosomal RNA
Rfam family: Bacterial small subunit ribosomal RNA
Source: RNAcentral
CCUACGGGAGGCUGCAGUGGGGAAUAUUGGGCAAUGGGCGCAAGCCUGACCCAGCAACGCCGCGUGAAGGAAGAAGGCUUUCGGGUUGUAAACUUCUUUUAUGAGGGACGAAAGAAAUGACGGUACCUCAUGAAUAAGCCACGGCUAACUACGUGCCAGCAGCCGCGGUAAUACGUAGGUGGCAAGCGUUAUCCGGAUUUACUGGGUGUAAAGGGCGUGUAGGCGGGACUUCAAGUCAGAUGUGAAAAUUUUGGGCUCAACCUCUAAACUGCAUUUGAAACUGUAGGGCUUGAGUGAUGGAGAGGCAGGCAGAAUUCCGGGUGUAGCGGUGAAAUGCGUAGAUAUACGGAGGAACACCAGUGGCGAAGGCGGCCUGCUGGACAUAAACUGACGCUGAGGUGCGAAAGCGUGGGGAGCAAACAGGAUUAGAUACCCGAGUAGUC